RNAcentral lists this long non-coding RNA (875 nucleotides) under Mus musculus (house mouse). RNAcentral's name for it is "long non-coding RNA chr17:48060510-48061385". Lineage: Eukaryota; Metazoa; Chordata; Mammalia; Rodentia; Muridae. The record is from RNAcentral.
GGAGGUGGGGUGGGGCAGAGACCCAUGGAAGGAACUCUAAACAGCAAAGGUUUCAUUUUAGAAGCUGAGGAGGGCAGAGAUUGGCUUAGAGACUUUGGGUCUGUUACUUUGACUCUGCAGAUCUGUCACUGUGUAUUUCUGAACCCUCCUUAGCAGCCUCUGCAGUCACAGAAGCUGACACAAGCUAACUGAAGCAGCUCCAAGCCCUGGGAUCAGUUUUCUCCAAGAACCUGGCUGGAGUAAGCCUGUGGCCUGUUCCGGGAUGAUGCAUACAGGAGAAUCCUUCAAAUGGAUUGGGGAAAUCACACAGGAUACACUCUUUAACAUGGAAUGUGUAGCUCAAGUGUGAGCAUUGCUUCUUGGAACCCAAUAUCAACCGCAGAAAUGGCUUAGAACACAGCAUAAAAGAAGUUUGUUUUUUUUUUUAAUUUAAUUUAAUAUAAAGUUGCCCUGGAAAGAUGGCUUCGCAGUUACAAGUAUUGCUGCUCUUUCAGAGGACCCAUGUCCAGUUCCUAGCACCCACAGGGUGGCGGCUCACAACUGUCCACAUACAUAACUUACAUAUAUCUGGAUAAAACACUUAGACAGAUAAAAUGAAAAUAAAAAAAUCUUUUAAAAUGUAAAGUUUAUAUUUAAUGUUUCAAGGCUCAAUUUUUAUCACUGAUCUAAGACAGCUGCUGGUGGAUGAUAUUAAUAAAAAAAGCAGCUGGGAAUUUAUUUAUUUAUUAUUUAUUUAUUUAUUUAUUUAUUUAUUUAUUUAUUUAUGUAUGUAAAAGACAAGCUCUCACUAUGUAGCAUGGGCUGGCCUCAAACUCACAGAGCUUCAACCUGCCUCUGUCUCCCUCGUGCUGAGAUUAAAGGUAGAUGCCACUAAG